RNAcentral lists this ribosomal RNA (251 nucleotides) under uncultured bacterium. RNAcentral's name for it is "partial 16S ribosomal RNA". It matches the Rfam family "Bacterial small subunit ribosomal RNA", at positions 524 to 774 of the family's 1533-position model. The record is from RNAcentral.
GACAUAGGGGGCAAGCGUUGUUCGGAAUUACUGGGCGUAAAGGGAGCGUAGGCGGGAGAUUAAGUUAAGAGUGAAAGCCUUGGGCUCAACCCAAGAAAUGCUCUUAAUACUGGUUUUCUAGAGUGUGGGAGAGGUAAGUGGAAUUCCUAGUGUAGCGGUAGAAUGCGUAGAGAUUAGGAGGAACAUCAGAGGCGAAGGCGGCUUACUGGACCAUAACUGACGCUGAGGCUCGAAAGCGUGGGGAGCAAACA